RNAcentral lists this non-coding RNA (23 nucleotides) under Arabidopsis thaliana (thale cress). Lineage: Eukaryota; Viridiplantae; Streptophyta; Magnoliopsida; Brassicales; Brassicaceae. The record is from RNAcentral.
UCAAUAAUGUCUCCAUCUGGACU